Molecule: long non-coding RNA, 713 nt
Filed under: Monodelphis domestica (gray short-tailed opossum)
Lineage: Eukaryota; Metazoa; Chordata; Mammalia; Didelphimorphia; Didelphidae
Description: lncRNA (ENSMODG00000046730.1)
Source: RNAcentral
UAUAAUAAAUAAAAUAACUUUCCCAAGGCCACACAGCUAGUAAGUGUCUGAGGUUGUAUUUGAGCCAAGGUCUUCCUUACUCCAGGCCCAUCACUCUAACCACUGAACUACCUGUAUAAUAUUUGUGAUGCAUUUUAGUUUUGACUUCAACACUAUAUUUCCCUUUUAUCUGUAAUCCAUCAAUGAAAAUGAUUAAAGGGAUUUUUUAAAAAUUCAUUUCCAUUUCUGAGAGAUAAUUGAUGAAUAAAUAAGUUGAUAUCAGAGUUUUAUUGAAAAUUCAAGUAUUUCAAAAGCCUUCUUGAAGUAGCUUCUCAUAUUUAGUAAAUUUAUCAUAUUCAAUAUAUUUUGGUAUAGGUUUCUUAUACAUAUUUAUUGAAUUACAGAAGACAGAAGCAAGGCUGUAAAGAAGGCAAGCAGGAAGGAAGGCUUGGUGCAAUUAUUCCAAUUUUAUUGACUGAGAAACUGAGGCAAACAGAGACUUGCUCAGGAUCACCCAAACAGUAAGUGACUGAGGCUAGAUUUGAACUCAGAUUUUCCUGAUUGGAUAGAAUGGAAAACAGAAAGGAAAAAUGUUGAAAGGAUUUUAUUCUAAAUAUGCCAGUCUUUUCCUUACAGAAGGCACACUUCUGUUUUAAACUUUAAAAUGUGUUAAACUGGUUUAAACUUAAGUCAGAGAUAAUAAAUACAUUGUGAUAAAACUCCUGGGAAGAAGA